GUUGGGUUCAUCUUGCAGCACCAGCUGCAGCCCCGUGCGAUGCAUGUUGGGUUCAUCUUGCAGCACCAGCUGCAGCUCCAUGCGAUGCAUGUUGGGUUCAUCUUGCAGCACCAGCUGCAGCCCCAUGCGAUGCAUGUUAGGUUCAUCUUGCAGCCUGCAGCUCUGUGCAAUGCAGCCCGGCCUCCUCCCAGCUGGGAGCUGCUGCUGCUGCUGCUGCUGGUGGGGGAUGCAUGUGCAGCACAGCAGGACGGGCUGCACCUCCUGCUCCUGCUGCUCCUGCUGCUCCUGCUGCACAGCUGCGUCCCACUGCGGCUUCCUGCCCUGCACACACACACACACACACACACACACACACACACACGUGAUGGAGCAGCAGCAGGGGCAGGAAGGCGGCGGUUCCUAUUUCCUCACAUUGUAGGCGAGUUUUUUUUGCUGCUUUGUUGUUAUUUUGGUUUAAUUUCUUUCCUUUCUGAGCCUCGCGAGGCCGACGCGACGCGAUGGAGCAACAGAGCAAACAACGCAGUCAGAACAUCCCAAUGCGUGGGGGUGCAGAGCAAAGGGAGCAGAGCAAACAGCUCCAAGAACAGAGCAAAUAAUGCAAUCAAACUCAUCCCAAUGCAUGGGGGUGCAGAGCAAAGGGAGCAGAGCAAACAGCUCUAACAACAGAGCAAAUAAUGCAAUCAAACUCAUCCCAAUGCGUGGGGGUGCAGAGCAAAGGGAGCAGAGCAAACAAUGCAAAGUCAUUGCAACACAUGGGGGUGCAGAGCAAAAGGAACAGAGCAAACAAUGCAAACUCAUCCCAACAACAAACGGAAGUGCAGAGCAAAACAAACAGCCCUUGCAACCCCAAGAACAGAGCAAACAAUGCAGUUAAAACUCAUCCCAACACGUGGGAGUGCAAAAGGAACAGAUGCAAAUGGGAAUGCAAAAGGAACAAAUGGGAAUGCAAAAGGAACAGCCCUUGCAACUCCAAGAACAGAGCAAACAAUGCAAUCAAACUCAUCCCAAUACGUGGAGUGCAGAGCAAACGGAGCAGAGCAAACAACGCAAAGUCAUUGCAACACAUGGGGGUGCAGAGCAAAAGGGACAGAGCAAACAAUGCAAACUCAUCCCAACAACAAAUGGGAGUGCAGAGCAAAAGGAGCAGCCCUUGCAACUCCAAGAACAGAGCAAACAAUGCAGUUAAAACUCAUCCCAACACGUGGGAGUGCAAAAGGAACAGAGCAAACAACGCAAAGUCAUCCCAACAACAAAUGGGAGGGCAGAGCAAAGGGAGCAGAGCAAACAACGCAAACUCAUUGCAACACAUGGGAGUGCAGAAGGAACAGAUGGGAAUGCAAAAGGAACAGAGCAAACAACUCCAAGAACAAAGCAAACAAUGCAAUCAAACUCAUCCCAACACGUGGAGUGCAGAGCAGAAGGAGCAGAGCAAACAACGCAAAGUCAUUGCAACACAUGGGGGUGCAGAGCAAAAGGAACAGAGCAAACAACUCCAAGAACAGAGCAAAUAAUGCAGUUAAAACACAUCCCAACAAAUGGGAAUGCAGAGCAAAAGGAGCAGAGCAAACAAUGCAAAGUCAUUGCAACACAUGGGGGUGCAGAGCAAAAGGAGCAGAGCAAACAGCUCCAAGAACAGAGCAAAUAAUGCANNCAAACUCAUCCCAACACAUGGGGGUGCAGAGCAAACGGAGCAGAGCAAACAACGCAAAGUCAUUGCAACACAUGGGGGUGCAGAGCAAAAGGAACAGAGCAAACAACGCAAACUCAUCCCAACACAUGGGAAUGCAGAAGGAACAGAGCAAACAACUCCAAGAACAGAGCAAACAAUGCAAUCAAACUCAGUGCAACACAUGGGAGUGCAGAGCAAAAGGAGCAGACACAAUGCAAUUAAACUCAUCCCAACAAAUAGGGGUGCAGAGCAAAGGAAGCAGCCCUUGCAGCUCCAAGAACAGAGCAAACAAUGCAAACAAACUCAUCCCAACAACAAAUGGGAGUGCAGAGCAAAAGGAGCAGCCCUUGCAACUCCAAGAACAGAGCAAAUAAUGCAGUCAAACUCAUUGCAACAACAAAUGGGAGUGCAGAGCAAAAGGAACAGCCCUUGCAACCCCAAGAACAGAGCAAACAAUGCAGUUGAAACUCAUCCCAAAAGCAAAUGGGAAUGAAGAGCAAAGGGAGCAGAGCAAACAACUCCGAGAACAGAACAAACAAUGCAAUCAAACUCAUCCCAACAAAUGGGAGUGCAGAAGGAACAGAUGCAAAUGGGAAUGCAAAAGGAACAGCCUUUGCAACUCUGUGCCUUUGCAACUCCAAGAACAGAGCAAACAAUGCAAACAAACUCAUCCCAACAAAUAAUGGGAAUGCAGAGCAAAACAAACAGCCCUUGCAACUCCAUGUUCCAGCACCCAGGCCCAGCUCUGCACCUCCAAGCAAAGCAACCCCCAAUGCAUCACGUUGCACCUCCCAGCAAAGCAACCCCCAAUGAAUCAUCUUGCACCUCCAAGCAAAGCAAAGCAACCCCCAAUGCAUCACCUUGCACCUCCCAGCAGAGCAGCAAGGCUCCGCUCUGCACCUCCAAGCAAAGCAACCCCCAAUGCAUCACGUUGCACCUCCCAGCAGAGCAGCAAUGCUCCCCAAUGCACCUCCCAGCACUGCAGCCCCCAAUGCAUCACGUUGCACCUCNCCCCAAUGCAUCACGUUGCACCUCCCAGCAGAGCAGCAAUGCUCCCCAAUGCACCUCCCAGCACUGCAGCCCCCAAUGCAUCACGUUGCACCUCCCAGCUCUGCAGCCCCCAAUGCAUCACGUUGCACCUCCCAGCACUGCAGCCCCCAAUGCAUCCCCUGCAUCAGCUGCACUGAGGCUGCACCCAGCCCCAGACGUGAGCAUCACCUUGCACCUGCAAGCAGAGCAGCCCCCAAUGCAUCACGUUGCACCUGCAAGCAGAGCAGCAAUGCUCCCCAAUGCACCUCCCAGCAAAGCAACCCCCAAUGCAUCACGUUGCACCCCCCAGCACUGCAGCCCCCAAUGCAUCACGUUGCAGCUCCC
Molecule: long non-coding RNA, 3043 nt
Organism: Coturnix japonica (Japanese quail)
Lineage: Eukaryota; Metazoa; Chordata; Aves; Galliformes; Phasianidae
Source: Ensembl